This 317-nucleotide small nuclear RNA is filed under the name Neogale vison (American mink). RNAcentral describes it as "Neovison vison (American mink) 7SK RNA (ENSNVIG00000008267.1)". It matches the Rfam family "7SK RNA". Rfam says of the family: 7SK was discovered as an abundant small nuclear RNA in the mid-70s but a possible function has only recently been suggested. Lineage: Eukaryota; Metazoa; Chordata; Mammalia; Carnivora; Mustelidae. The record is from Rfam by way of RNAcentral.
GGAUGUAAGGUUGAUCUGGCUGUGUCAUCUGUCACUCUAUUGAUCAGCAGGGUUGAAUCAGCUGAUCUGGUUGGCUAGACAGGUGCCCCUUCUUUCCCUCACAGCUCUGUGUGCAUCUCUAUUGAAGCAGUGCACUGAGUUGAAGAGGAAGACCUUCCCCAGUAGAAGAGGACCAUUUUCCAGCAUAGCCAUGCUUUCAUGACAGAAUUUCCAAACAAGUUCUAGGGUCCAUUUGUAGGAGAAAGUGGAGGAAUCAAGCUUCCAAAACUACAGACACAUACAAAUGAGCUGCUGCAUGUGGCAGUCUGCCUUUAUUA